GACAGAGGGUGCAAACGUUGUUCGGAAUUACUGGGCGUAAAGCGCGUGUAGGCGGCCCUGCAAGCCGGGUGUGAAAUCCCACGGCUCAACCGUGGAAGUGCAUUCGAAACUGCAGGGCUAGAGUCCUGGAGAGGAAGGUGGAAUGCUUGGUGUAGAGGUGAAAUUCGUAGAUAUCAAGCGGAACACCGGUGGCGAAGGCGGCCUUCUGGACAGUGACUGACGCUGAGACGCGAAAGCGUGGGGAGCAAACAGG
This 253-nucleotide ribosomal RNA is filed under the name uncultured bacterium. RNAcentral describes it as "partial 16S ribosomal RNA". It matches the Rfam family "Bacterial small subunit ribosomal RNA", at positions 524 to 776 of the family's 1533-position model. The record is from RNAcentral.